UUCAAUAUAGCUAUUUGAUAGUUUCUUUUGCUAGAUUCUUUUUUUGCACAGUUUGCUAUUGUAAGUUUGUAACUUUGGGACAAAGCAAGAAAAUUCAUCUGGAGAUUGCCAAGCAAAAGGAAAUUCAUCUUGAUGUAUGCAAUGCUGUUUUUAUUUUUAUUCAAUUAUAGUUUAAUAGCCAUCACCGGAGGGACAAGAGGUGAAGAUAUUAGGUGUUCAGUUGGUCUGAUGAUCUGGGUCUGUGAUUCUUAGUUGUAGUUCUAUUGGCCUGGCUUUGUUUGUUAGGGAUGCAUGGAGUUGGUGUAGGCAACUGGUACUUGAUAUUCUUGGUUGUAUGCAAUGCUGUUCAGCUCUUUGCUAUUGCUCUCUUGUGCCCGAUAUGAACUUAAAUUGUGAUUUGAAGUUGGUGCAGGCAACUGUUACUUGAUCUGUUCGAUCACAUAACUUUUGUCUCCUUAUAUUGAGUAAGUUACAGAGUGAUGUUUUGAGGGAAGCAAUCUCUCAGAUUGCAAAUGAUUCUUAGGAGAAGAAGCGCAAUUUUACUGAAACCAUUGAGCUACAAAUUGGUCUGAAAAACUAUGACCCCC
This is a non-coding RNA of Phoenix dactylifera (date palm), 587 nucleotides long. NCBI's taxonomy places the organism in Eukaryota, Viridiplantae, Streptophyta, Magnoliopsida, Arecales, Arecaceae. The record is from RefSeq and is a predicted model, not a curated record.